Drosophila navojoa is the source of this 88-nucleotide long non-coding RNA. The record is from RefSeq and is a predicted model, not a curated record. NCBI's taxonomy places the organism in Eukaryota, Metazoa, Arthropoda, Insecta, Diptera, Drosophilidae.
GAUAAUUGCCUUCAUCCCGGCUACAAAUUAAUUGAUACUCUAAAUUUUACCAUAUGCUCGGGUAGCUCCGAUGGCCUUUGUCACACAA